This 371-nucleotide long non-coding RNA is filed under the name Panicum hallii. RNAcentral's name for it is "long non-coding RNA (PHAL_LNC000464)". Lineage: Eukaryota; Viridiplantae; Streptophyta; Magnoliopsida; Poales; Poaceae. The record is from RNAcentral.
CUUCCCCCCGCUAGCACUCCCUGUCUCCCUGAUUCCUCUUCUAAGCACAGCCGUAUCAGCUUGUUUAUUGCCCACCGCUUUUUUCCUUCUUUACUGAAGCAAAUCCAAAGGACAGAAGCACCAACCAUCCUACUCUCUCCAAUCAGAAACCACCAACAGCAAGCUCCCUCUCUGAGCCUCCAUCUCCCGUUCUCCCAUCCCGUCUCCUUUUCUUCUCCACGAGCAGAGCAAACAAGUUAUCAUGGAUCAUGCUACGGCCGGAGCAGCAGGUCGUCGGCCGCAUCUCCUGCAAGAUGUCCAUAUCGACAUAGCUGAACUCCUCGACGAUGCGGAGCACCUCGUUGACGGACAUGCGCAAAAGGAAAAAGGCC